Molecule: transfer RNA, 99 nt
Organism: Verticillium dahliae VdLs.17
Lineage: Eukaryota; Fungi; Ascomycota; Sordariomycetes; Glomerellales; Plectosphaerellaceae
Rfam family: tRNA
About the family: Transfer RNA (tRNA) molecules are approximately 80 nucleotides in length.
Source: Rfam
GACGAGGUGGCCGAGUGGUUGAAGGCGCAACUUUUAAGCCAAUCCCUGAUUGCACAGUUGUAUCGUGAGAUAUCUUGGGUUCGAAUCCCAAUCUCGUCA